This is a small RNA of 139 nucleotides. It matches the Rfam family "Brucella sRNA CI27". The record is from Rfam.
AUUCCAGAUAAAGCAUGUCUCCCAAAAGUGGGAACCGGUUUUGGGAUAAAGACAUGCGUGAAAACAAAAGCUUAAAGCGUGUUCCCUGAAUAUAGUAAGAUGCAACACGCUUUAAAGGUUGAAACCGGUGUUUCGAUAG